Long non-coding RNA from Mytilus trossulus (common blue mussel), 725 nucleotides. RefSeq lists it as uncharacterized. The transcript has 3 exons. The record is from RefSeq and is a predicted model, not a curated record. NCBI's taxonomy places the organism in Eukaryota, Metazoa, Mollusca, Bivalvia, Mytilida, Mytilidae.
CCCUAAAAGGUGUACUUGAUUUGGUCCAUAUUUUUAUUUGUUCUAACCAAUAACUACGUUAUUAAACUUGUUUUAAGGAAAUCAAUGCUGGCACUGCAUGCAAUUAUCUUAUAUCUAUUGGUCAUAAAAUUACCAAAUAUGAUUAAACAAGGAUAAAGGCUGUGGAUUUUCUAUAAAAAUUCCAUAUGUUUAGCAUUGAAGCAACACAAGGGUACAUAAUCCUAAAUACUUUCCUAGAUGCAUCAGUUUGUCUGUUCUCUUAAUAGAUAUGUGUGUGUAAAAACAGCCAUAUUUUUCAAUUCCCUCAGAUGAACCUUUAACAUUAUGAAUAUCCGGUAAUUGAACCCAUGUGUAUGGUUCAAGAGGAGCAGAAUAAAAUCUUGAUUUGUCUUGAUAUAUAAAAAAAAAAACACUUCUGUUUUCUGUUUAUACAAUUUACAAGGCCUUUGAAAUUCGCUAUUUAUACAAGACUAUUCUAGGAUCUAUUUUGCUGGAGCUCACCUUCACUAGUUUGGUCGGAGUAUUUUAAAAACAUUUUCUGUUAUUUUACUUACAAGAUAAAAUGAAAGACCAAUUAACAGAGACAAAGGUUGAGGAAAGGAUAUAUCAGGUCACGACGGGUCAAUUCUUAUUUUUGAACCUGAAACCCAGAGUGCAAGUACCCCUUUGGAAAAAACGGUCACUGCGACUCAACAAUGUGACAAAUGUGGGAAAACAUACCAAAC